CCUACGGGUGGCAGCAGUGGGGACUAUUGGGCAAUGGGCGAAAGCCUGACCCAGUAACGCCGCGUGAAGGAAGCAGGCUUUCGGGUUGUACACUUCUUUUGACAGGGAAGAGCAGAAGACGGUACCUGUCAAAUAAGCCACGGCUAACUACGUGCCAGCAGCCGCGGUAAUACGUAGGUGGCGAGCGUUGUCCGGAUUUACUGGGUGUAAAGGGCGUGUAGCCGGGCUGACAAGUCAGAUGUGAAAUCCGGGGGCUCAACCCCCGAACUGCAUUUGAAACUGUUGGUCUUGAGUAUCGGAGAGGCAGGCGGAAUUCCUAGUGUAGCGGUGAAAUGCGUAGAUAUUAGGAGGAACACCAGUGGCGAAGGCGACUUUCUGGACAGUAACUGACGUUGAGGCACGAAAGUGUGGGGAGCAAACAGGAUUAGAUACCCCAGUAGUC
This 442-nucleotide ribosomal RNA is filed under the name uncultured bacterium. Its description in RNAcentral is "partial 16S ribosomal RNA". It matches the Rfam family "Bacterial small subunit ribosomal RNA", at positions 338 to 795 of the family's 1533-position model. The record is from RNAcentral.